UUCCGGUUGAUCCUGCCGGACCCGACUGCUAUCAGAGUGGGACUAAGCCAUGCGAGUCAACGUAGAAAUACGUGGCAAACGGCUCAGUAACACGUAGUCAACAUGCCCAGGGGACGUGGAUAACCUCGGGAAACUGAGGAUAAACCGCGAUAGGCCAUGAUUUCUGGAAUGGUUCAUGGCUGAAAUCUAUAUGGCCCCUGGAUUGGACUGCGGCCGAUCAGGCUGUUGGUGAGGUAAUGGCCCACCAAACCUGUAACCGGUACGGGCUCUGAGAGGAGGAGCCCGGAGAUGGGCACUGAGACAAGGGCCCAGGCCCUAUGGGGCGCAGCAGGCGCGAAAUCUCUGCAAUAGGCGAAAGCUUGACAGGGUUACUCUGAGUGAUUCCCGCUAAGGGGAUCUUUUGGCACCUUUAAAAAUGGUGCAGAAUAAGGGGUGGGCAAGUCUGGUGUCAGCCGCCGCGGUAAUACCAGCACCCCGAGUGGUCGGGACGAUUAUUGGGCCUAAAGCAUCCGUAGCCGGUCUUGCAAGUCUUCCGUUAAAUCCACCUGCUCAACAGAUGGGCUGCGGAAGAUACUAUGGAGCUAGGAGGCGGGAGAGGCAAGCGGUACUCGAUGGGUAGGGGUAAAAUCCGUUGAUCCAUUGAAGACCACCAGUGGCGAAGGCGGCUUGCCAGAACGCGCUCGACGGUGAGGGAUGAAAGCUGGGGGAGCAAACCGGAUUAGAUACCCGGGUAGUCCCAGCUGUAAACGGUGCAGACUCGGUGAUGGGUUGGCCUCGAGCCAACCCAGCGCCGCAGGGAAGCCGUUAAGUCUGCCGCCUGGGGAGUACGGUCGCAAGACUGAAACUUAAAGGAAUUGGCGGGGGAGCAC
Molecule: ribosomal RNA, 869 nt
Filed under: uncultured archaeon
Lineage: Archaea
Description: bacterial SSU rRNA
Rfam family: Archaeal small subunit ribosomal RNA
Source: RNAcentral